This 497-nucleotide ribosomal RNA is filed under the name uncultured bacterium. RNAcentral's name for it is "partial 16S ribosomal RNA". It matches the Rfam family "Bacterial small subunit ribosomal RNA", at positions 28 to 507 of the family's 1533-position model. The record is from RNAcentral.
GAUGAACGCUGGCGGCGUGCCUAAUACAUGCAAGUCGAGCGAACGGACGAGAAGCUUGCUCCUCUGAUGUUAGCGGCGGACGGGUGAGUAACACGUGGAUAACCUACCUAUAAGACUGGGAUAACUUCGGAAAACCGGAGCUAAUAUCGGAUAAUAUUUUGAACCGCAUGGUUCAAAAGUGAAAGACGGUCUUGCUGUCACUUAUAGAUGGAUCCGCGCUGCAUUAGCUAGUUGGUAAGGUAACGGCUUACCAAGGCAACGAUGCAUAGCCGACCUGAGAGGGUGAUCGGCCACACUGGAACUGAGACACGGUCCAGACUCCUACGGGAGGCAGCAGUAGGGAAUCUUCCGCAAUGGGCGAAAGCCUGACGGAGCAACGCCGCGUGAGUGAUGAAGGUCUUCGGAUCGUAAAACUCUGUUAUUAGGGAAGAACAUAUGUGUAAGUAACUGUGCACAUCUUGACGGUACCUAAUCAGAAAGCCACGGCUAACUACGUG